UAAAAAAAUGAUGGCUUAAGUGAACAAAGUGACAAUAGAAACAGAAAGGCUAUUUAGAAUAUCUGGAGAAAUUUUUUUUAGAAUAUCCGGACAAGUUUUUUUUUUUUUUUUUAAAAGGUACCGCAGUAACACACCCAACGUCUUCUAAGAAGCCUUCUAAAUUUUGAGACCUUCAGCUUCCCAGGACUGUUUUCUGUUUUCUGCGUAAUCAGUUGAUGUCUUGAGUGUGCAAAAAGAAAUCCAGAACUAUAAGCACAAGUUCCAGAACCCAACUCUAUGAGAUAAACUAGUCCACUGCAAAUGUAACAGCACACCAACAAAUUCAUGAUUUACAACAGUUCACAGUGCACAGUGCUCAGCACACCUAAUAAUGAACCUUCUCAUCAUUGU
RNAcentral lists this unclassified non-coding RNA (390 nucleotides) under Hevea brasiliensis (rubber tree). The record is from RNAcentral. Lineage: Eukaryota; Viridiplantae; Streptophyta; Magnoliopsida; Malpighiales; Euphorbiaceae.